GCGGUAAUACGGAGGGUGCGAGCGUUGUCCGGAAUCACUGGGCGUAAAGGGCGCGUAGGUGGCGCAGGCAGUCAACGGUGAAAGCUCGGGGCUCAACCCCGAGUCGGCCGUCGAUACUCCUGGGCUGGAGCACUGUAGAGGCAGGUGGAAUUCCGGGUGUAGCGGUGGAAUGCGUAGAGAUCCGGAAGAACACCGGUGGCGAAGGCGGCCUGCUGGGCAGUUGCUGACACUGAGGUGCGAAAGCGUGGGGAGCAAACAGG
Molecule: ribosomal RNA, 260 nt
Filed under: uncultured bacterium
Lineage: Bacteria
Description: partial 16S ribosomal RNA
Rfam family: Bacterial small subunit ribosomal RNA
Source: RNAcentral